Molecule: ribosomal RNA, 235 nt
Filed under: uncultured bacterium
Lineage: Bacteria
Description: partial 16S ribosomal RNA
Rfam family: Bacterial small subunit ribosomal RNA
Source: RNAcentral
UGGCGGACGGGUGAGUAGUGUCUGGGAAACUGCCUGAUGGAGGGGGAUAACUACUGGAAACGGUAGCUAAUACCGCAUAACGUCGCAAGACCAAAGAGGGGGACCUUAGGGCCUCUUGCCAUCGGAUGUGCCCAGAUGGGGUUAGCUAGUAGGUGGGGUAACGGCUCACCUAGGCGACGAUCCCUAGCUGGUCUGAGAGGAUGACCAGCCACACUGGAACUGAGACACGGUCCAG